RNAcentral lists this ribosomal RNA (341 nucleotides) under uncultured archaeon. RNAcentral's name for it is "partial 16S ribosomal RNA". It matches the Rfam family "Archaeal small subunit ribosomal RNA", at positions 133 to 475 of the family's 1478-position model. The record is from RNAcentral.
CGGGAAACUGGGGAUAAUACCCGCUAGAUCUCGAAGGCUGGGAUGCAUCGAGAUUGAAAGCUCCGGCGCCCGAGGAUGGAUCUGCGGCCUAUCAGGUAGUAGUGGGUGUAGCGUACCUACUAGCCUACGACGGGUACGGGUUGUGAGAGCAAGAGCCCGGAGAUGGAUUCUGAGACACGAAUCCAGGCCCUACGGGGUGCAGCAGGCGCGAAAACUUUACAAUGCCGGCAACGGCGAUAAGGGGACCUCGAGUGCCAGGUUACAAAUCUGGCUGUCGAGAUGCCUAAAAAGCAUUUCAUAGCAAGGGCCGGGCAAGACCGGUGCCAGCCGCCGCGGUAACA